AUCAACUUUCGAUGGUAGGAUAGAGGCCUACCAUGGUGGUAACGGGUAACGGGGUGUUAGGGCACGACACCGGAGAGGGAGCCUGAGAAACGGCUACCACAUCCAAGGAUGGCAGCAGGCGCGCAAAUUACCCAAUCCCGACACGGGGAGGUAGUGACAAUAAAUAACAAUACGGGGUUCUUUCGGAUUUCGUAAUUGGAAUGAGUACAAUUUAAAUCUCUUAACGAUCAACAAUUGGAGGGCAAGUCUGGUGCCAGCAGCCGCGGUAAUUCCAGCUCCAAUAGCGUAUAUUAAAGUUGUUGCAGUUAAAAAGCUCGUAGUUGAAUUUCGGGAUCAGUAGGUCGGUCAUGCCUCAGGUAUGUACUGGUCUCACUGGUUCCUCCUUCCUGAUGAACCGUAAUGCCAUUAAUUUGGUGUUGCGGGGAAACUGGACUGUUACUUUGAAAAAAUUAGAGUGUUUAAAGCAAGCUAACGCUUGAAUACAUUAGCAUGGAAUAAUGAAAUAGGACGUUCGAUCCUAUUUUGUUGGUUUCUAGGAUUGACGUAAUGAUUAAUAGGGAUAGUUGGGGGCAUUAGUAUUCAAUUGUCAGAGGUGAAAUUCUUGGAUUUAUUGAAGACUAACUACUGCGAAAGCAUUUGCCAAGGAUGUUUUCAUUAAUCAAGAACGAAAGUUAGGGGAUCGAAGACGAUCAGAUACCGUCGUAGUCUUAACCAUAAACUAUGCCGACUAGGGAUCGGAUGAUGUUAAUUUUUUUAAUGACUCAUUCGGCGCCUUACGGGAAACCAAAGUGUUUGGGUUC
RNAcentral lists this ribosomal RNA (800 nucleotides) under uncultured Glomeromycotina. Its description in RNAcentral is "SSU rRNA". It matches the Rfam family "Eukaryotic small subunit ribosomal RNA", at positions 314 to 1114 of the family's 1831-position model. The record is from RNAcentral. Lineage: Eukaryota; Fungi; Glomeromycota.